Molecule: transfer RNA, 80 nt
Filed under: Asclepias syriaca
Lineage: Eukaryota; Viridiplantae; Streptophyta; Magnoliopsida; Gentianales; Apocynaceae
Description: tRNA-Thr
Rfam family: tRNA
About the family: Transfer RNA (tRNA) molecules are approximately 80 nucleotides in length.
Source: RNAcentral
AGUCGCGAUCAGAAUGAAUGGUAGUUCGCUGGGCCUGUCUUUUGCUCCCAGAGGUGCUGGUUCGAAUCCAGCUCGUGACA